RNAcentral lists this ribosomal RNA (262 nucleotides) under uncultured bacterium. RNAcentral describes it as "partial 16S ribosomal RNA". It matches the Rfam family "Bacterial small subunit ribosomal RNA", at positions 1105 to 1366 of the family's 1533-position model. The record is from RNAcentral.
UCGUCGGCUGUUGCCAGCGGGAGAGGCCGGGCACUCAGCCGAGACCGCCGGGGACGACCCGGAGGAAGGUGGGGAUGACGUCAAAUCCGCAUGGCCUUGAUGCUCUGGGCGACACACGUGCUACAAUGGCGCCGACAACGGGAGGCGACCGCGCGAGCGGGAGCGGGCCCCUCAAAGGGCGUCGUAGUUCGGAUUGCAGGCUGCAACUCGCCUGCAUGAAGCGGGAAUUGCUAGUAAUCGCGGAUCAGCAUGCCGCGGUGAA